This 519-nucleotide ribosomal RNA is filed under the name uncultured Alphaproteobacteria bacterium. RNAcentral describes it as "bacterial SSU rRNA". It matches the Rfam family "Bacterial small subunit ribosomal RNA", at positions 357 to 896 of the family's 1533-position model. The record is from RNAcentral. Lineage: Bacteria; Pseudomonadati; Pseudomonadota; Alphaproteobacteria.
GGGAAUAUUGGACAAUGGGGGAAACCCUGAUCCAGCGAUGCCGCGUGAGUGAAGAAGGCCUUAGGGUUGUAAAGCUCUUUCAGUAGUGAAGAUGAUGACGGUAGCUACAGAAGAAGGACCGGCUAACUCCGUGCCAGCAGCCGCGGUAAUACGGAGGGUUCAAGCGUUGUUCGGAAUUACUGGGCGUAAAGAGCGCGUAGGCGGUGCAGAUAGUCAGAUGUGAAAGCCCUGGGCUUAACCCAGGAGGUGCAUUUGAUACUACUGUGCUAGAGUACCGAAGAGGUAAGUGGAAUUCCUAGUGUAGAGGUGAAAUUCGUAGAUAUUAGGAGGAACACCAGUGGCGAAGGCGGCUUACUGGUCGGUAACUGACGCUGAGGCGCGAAAGCGUGGGGAGCAGACAGGAUUAGAUACCCUGGUAGUCCACGCCGUAAACGAUGAGUGCUAGAUGUUGGGUCGAAUGGCUCGGUGUCGCAGCUAACGCAAUAAGCACUCCGCCUGGGGAGUACGGUCGCAAGAUUA